Long non-coding RNA from Pipra filicauda (Wire-tailed manakin), 192 nucleotides. RefSeq lists it as uncharacterized. The transcript is spliced from 2 exons. The record is from RefSeq and is a predicted model, not a curated record. NCBI's taxonomy places the organism in Eukaryota, Metazoa, Chordata, Aves, Passeriformes, Pipridae.
GUUCUACCUGAAUAUGAGGAAGAACAUCUUUACUGUGUGACAGGAGCAGCAUCCAGCAGCUGUUUGGGACUCCUCGCCUGGGCGGUCCCAGAAAGGCCUGAGCCCACUGAUCCCGGUUAGGCUGCACUGGCUUUGUGCCUGUCCAGUGGUCCUUGCUCUUUCUAAAAUAAAUUUUGUCUUUUUUUAAAUAAA